UAGGGAAUCUUCCGCAAUGGGCGAAAGCCUGACGGAGCAACGCCGCGUGAGUGAUGAAGGUCUUCGGAUCGUAAAACUCUGUUAUUAGGGAAGAACAAAUGUGUAAGUAACUAUGCACGUCUUGACGGUACCUAAUCAGAAAGCCACGGCUAACUACGUGCCAGCAGCCGCGGUAAUACGUAGGUGGCAAGCGUUAUCCGGAAUUAUUGGGCGUAAAGCGCGCGUAGGCGGUUUUUUAAGGCUGAUGUGAAAGCCCACGGCUCAACCGUGGAGGGUCAUUAGAAACUGGAAAACUUGAGUGCAGAAGAGGAAAGUGGAAUUCCAUGUGUAGCGGUGAAAUGCGCAGAGAUAUGGAGGAACACCAGUGGCGAAGGCGACUUUCUGGUCUGUAACUGACGCUGAUGUGCGAAAGCGUGGGGAUCAAACAGG
Molecule: ribosomal RNA, 429 nt
Filed under: Actinomycetes bacterium
Lineage: Bacteria; Bacillati; Actinomycetota; Actinomycetes
Description: Actinobacteria bacterium partial 16S ribosomal RNA
Rfam family: Bacterial small subunit ribosomal RNA
Source: RNAcentral